This 295-nucleotide small RNA is filed under the name Pongo abelii (Sumatran orangutan). Its description in RNAcentral is "retained intron". The record is from RNAcentral. Lineage: Eukaryota; Metazoa; Chordata; Mammalia; Primates; Hominidae.
ACUCUGUGUGUGAGGAGUCAGUGAGGGUACAGAAUGGAGUCCUGUUCUACAUCACAGGUCUUCUCAUUUCAGAGCACAGUAACUUUGCCUAAUUAUCAGGAAAUCUCCAUGAGUUACAUCAUUUCUGCCUUCUCUCUGAAACUAGAGGAGUUCUUCCUAAAAUGAAGAAAUGUACAUCUUCAUGGAGUACUGCGAUGAGGGGACUUUAGAAGAGGUGUCAAGGCUGGGACUUCAGGAACAUGUGAUUAGGCUGUAUUCAAAGCAGAUCACCAUUGCAAUCAAUGUCCUCCAUGAG